CGGAGACCUUUGCUAACGAACAGACACACAGUUUUCCGUAUCCAAUGUAGUGCAGAGCUCGCCAAAGUUGGAAAUUAGCAUCGUGGAGGAAGAUCCAAUGUUCUAAUGGAAUUUGGUUCAUCUUCCUUGGCCCGAUCGUAGCCCGGCUUUGAACCAUAUCGAGCAUAUAUGGGACAAUAUUGGGCGGAAAGUGCGGGAAAGGACACCCCAGUUCAAACACAUCAUGAAAUAAACGAUGCCCUUCAUCAGAAAUGGUUGCUGCUACCUUAGCAACAAAUUAGUCGAUUUAUGGCAGGAAUCAGAAGACGUUAAGAUGCGGUUAUCCGUUUGAAUGGAGGCUGCGCACAAAGGACUAGUUUUUUGGCGUUUAACGAUCAACCAUGAUG
This 386-nucleotide long non-coding RNA is filed under the name Mytilus galloprovincialis (Mediterranean mussel). Lineage: Eukaryota; Metazoa; Mollusca; Bivalvia; Mytilida; Mytilidae. The record is from RNAcentral.